RNAcentral lists this ribosomal RNA (253 nucleotides) under uncultured bacterium. RNAcentral describes it as "partial 16S ribosomal RNA". It matches the Rfam family "Bacterial small subunit ribosomal RNA", at positions 524 to 776 of the family's 1533-position model. The record is from RNAcentral.
GACGAACCGUGCAAACGUUAUUCGGAAUCACGGGGCUUAAAGGGCGCGUAGGCGGGCCGCCCGGUCCGGGGUGAAAUCCUCCAGCUCAACUGGAGAAGUGCCUUGGAUACCGGCGGCCUCGAGGGAGGCAGGGGCGUGCGGAACUUCGGGUGGAGCGGUGAAAUGCGUAGAUAUCCGAAGGAACACCGGUGGCGAAAGCGGCGCGCUGGACCUCUUCUGACGCUGAGGCGCGAAAGCCAGGGGAGCAAACGGG